Long non-coding RNA from Vombatus ursinus (common wombat), 8587 nucleotides. RefSeq lists it as uncharacterized. The record is from RefSeq and is a predicted model, not a curated record. The transcript has 4 exons. Lineage: Eukaryota; Metazoa; Chordata; Mammalia; Diprotodontia; Vombatidae.
CAUCCCCGCUGCGGCCGCGGCUGCGGCUGCCGGGAACCCGCGGCGGCUGGGGUUGGCUAGCCCCGGUCAGCGGCCGGCUGGUCUUGACAGCUCAGGUUCCUUAUUCUAGACACAAUAAUUUUCCUACGGUGUUUAUGUUGUCCUCAUCUUGAAUGCAAAACAGAAUCCAUAAGCUCAGGAUUUAGUAGGUUCUUUAGAAGAAAAAAGACAUUCAUUUGAAUCAUUCUAUCCUUCACUGUUUUCUCAGGUGAUCCUGCUUCUUUUAUGUAACUGCAGUCCUUGGUCUUGACAUGUGGAUCUAUCUCCUCUCUACUUUAACUCCAUGGACCAGAAUGGAAAAAAUUUCUUCACUUCGUGUUCCACUUCUCAAAUACAGCACCUUUAGCUUGUUAGGUGGCUUCCUCCUUGGUGCCGUCUGGCUGGCAUCAUGCCAAUUCUUCCAGGGAAAAAGAAGCAAUUGAUGUUGGUACUCAGCUAUUUGCUUAGAUGAGAGAAGGGAUCUUUUUUUUUUUCCCCCAAAUUGAAGCAUAAUAUUUAAAUUAUUGUCAGGUGUUUAGAUGGUGGCAUUUGUGAGUUCUUUGCCCUUUAUGCUUUACAAGAAUACACAGUAAGAAGUCAAAAUGUCUGCAGGGGCUACUUGUAUCCUGUUGGAACUAGCAUAAAAUUACACAUAUGCAUAAUUACAGCAAGAAAACUUAUAUUUCAAUACAAGAAAGUACACUUCAGUUCUGAAUUGUAAUUAAUUCCAUUACAUAUAUUUCUCAAUCCAGAACAAAGGGCCAACUUUGUAGAUACUCCAGUGACAUGGUAAGUAAAGCAGCUGUGUACAGUACGAUGUCCCUGCAUUUUUUAUGUGUAUGAAGAAAACAUGUUCUUUGAACAAAGAUAUUUCUGCAUGGGUAUAUCCACAUUUAUCAGUGAGAAGAAAGAUUUCUUCCAAGAACAAAGCCUGGCUGCCUUGUCUCUUCCCCUGGUAGCACUUGGUUGCUUCAUACCAUUUUAAGAUGUUUUUCCAUUUUCACAAGAAAGGAGCAGGUUGUACAGAAGCAGACCUCAUAAAUGCAUUCCUGGGUCCGUUGGAAAACAGUUUUCGUUGACUUUUGACUAAACAAAGGACAAAAAGUUUUGAUCUUACCAAGAAUGGGGGCUCUCUUGUGCAUAUAUAUGGCUUGAUGUCACCUUUUUUCCUUGUGGAGUGUUAUGGGACAUUCUGGAGUUGGCUUUUCAUAUUGCUGUGGCUAAGAGUGAACCAAAACAAGGCAUCUGCCAUUGGAUACUCAGAAUACCAGAUCAAACCCAUAGUUGGCUAUGAAUAUAGCAGAAUGGAAAAAGAGUGGGAGUAGGAAAGAAAAAUAUUUUUUUCCCCAUACAACUUCAACCUGAGAGACAAAAAGCAGAAAUACUUUGUGCAGCUCGCUUGGACUGACAUAUUUGCAUGACAUUCUGUAUCUUCAUCCCUUGCAGUGUCAUGGGAACAUUAUCCUUCAAUUCAGGAUGGCUACGAGAGUGAUAUCCAUUGGUGAAACUGAAGCAUCUCACCAGAGAGUGAGCCUCAAUAUAAUGUCCAUCAACCUUGGCUUGAGGCAGGAUGAACUUAGGUCUGGAAGAAAUUUAGCAACUAUAUUCUGUCCCCCGUCCUUCCCGCCCUCCCACCCCCCCAAAAAAUUCCACAGAAUAGUUUCAUAUCUAGAUUAGGCAACAGAUAUGGAAUAGCUUGUUUUCCUCUUACUAAGGGGAAAAAACCCAACACUACCCUUGGGAGCUGAAAUCCUUCCUCGCUCCUAUACCUGAGAUGCACAGCAGAGUUUGGGAUGACGUGUUACUAGUACAGGAGAACAUCUGCCCUCUUUUAUUUGUUAUCUUACAGUACUAGAGAAAUCAACGUAAAACUUGUCAAAUAUUAAGGCCAUAUGUUGUAUCUUUGUGUUUUGGGGAAUAUGCACAUCCAGAGCCCUGGUAUGAUGCUGGAGUAAAGAGCCUGGAUUCAGACUGCUCUGCCCAGAUAGAAUUUUGUUAAAGACAAGAAUUGCCAGAAUGGAAUGUUAUCCUUUGAUGAAUAGUAGGUCUUAGCCGAUGGGAAUUGAAAUCUAAAUCAAAUUGUCUUUUAGGGGGAAAGAAGUUUUAGAUAAAGUAUGAUUUUAAAAGGGUAAUGAGUAAGAUUGGCUAGUAGUAAAGUACACCAUUCUCAACGUCUUGGUGCAAUUUUAAGUUUUAAUAGCUUAAAGCUCCACUAAGACUUCUGGGAUACCCUGUAUAAGUUAGUCAUGUCUUUUGAAAGUUGUAUGUUUAUAGUAGUUAGAAAUCUUUCACUUCAGUUAGGCAGACCUCCCAGUCACUUGUUUAUUUUUUAUUUGUUACUACUGCUCUGUAAAGAUAAAGACCAGUGUUGUUGGGGAAACUCCUUACUAAAGGGGUCACUACAGGUGCCACCAAGAUGUUGAGAAAGAGUUUAAAUCUUGUUUCUCUGCCAUUCCCUUUAAUGUCUUAUUAUUGGUAGCCUUUCUGGCAGGCAGCAGGGCCAUCCUAUUCUCCUUACCUCCUCUGUCAAACUUGCAACAGAUCCAUUCUGGCCCAUUGGUGCUUCAGGCAUCAGAUCUACUUUUUUAGAUCCCUUAGAGUUCUCUGAAUUCAUAGCCAAUAAGUUAACUGUUUAAUGUUUCCCUGAAAUAGACUCCUGCCUUAUUUACAACUGUCACAAAAAUCUCAUUACAACCAAAAUUUGGUCAUGAUCAGUUGUUUCAGCCUUAUACUCUCUUAAGACACCCUCUUUAUUUCUUUUCUGCCUGUCUUUAUGCAGUUUCCUUCCUGGCUGUGGUUUUAGGCAGCACCCUCUAUGGCCUAUUGCUAAACCUUCUCUUCUUCCAGUCCUCCUUGUUGGUCAGAAAUUUUCCUUUUUGAAAAGUUAAAACAAAUAAACAUGGGAUAUGUGCAAUAAUUACAUAUAUAUACAUAUAUAUUUUAAUACUUGUGGACAAAAUAAUGUUACAAGUUGUUUGAGAACAACAAAAUCACCAAUGUCUUCCAUUUUGAUAUUAUGUAUAGUUUCAUAAGCAUUAAUGCUUUGUAGCAAAAUGUAGUGCCAUGUUAGGGGCCAGUGCAUGAGCCUAGUAGUAAUUUUAGAAUUAAAAAUGAAUUCUUUAUAAUAAUAACCAAUAGUAUAACAAAAAAUGGAAAAUAUAAAAAUUUCCUUUUUUCUUAAAAUUCUGAACCUGUAUCUUCUCCCUGGGGAAAAGUGACAGACUAAAAGGGCUAGUUUAGAAAUAGAAUUAUUUUGGGCCUUGAAGAAUAUGUGUGGGGAUGUUUUGAUUUCAUAUAAUGUUGAAGUAUUCUACACCUAAUGUGACAGUGUCCUAUCUGAACCACAAACUAAACUAUGGACAACCACCCCCCACCCACACUCCCUCCAAGGUAGUGCUCCUGCAUUGUGUUUCUUGUGUGGAGUGAAGUUAUUCUUCCUGCGUCCUUGUAUGGUUAUGUCUAAUAGCUUAAUCCUGUUUCAUUUCUGUAUGUAGACAUUCUCUGCAUCAAGGAACCACAGUACAAUUUAAAUAUCUUAAUUGGAUAUUCUCGUCAGCCUCACAUGAAGUGCUCUGUUAACUCAAGGGUAGUCUGUAGACUGUUUUACAUUUCCUGUCUGCAGGUCACUGUCUCUGCGUUGUGUCAAGAAACCCUUGUAAAUGUUAGAGAGAGUCAGAGUAUUUGUUUAAGGCUAUCCCCACUUCUUAAUCAUCUGUGGGGUUUGGUUUGGUUUUUUAAUGUGGUUUUCUUGCUAUCUCUUUUGCUUGAUUUAUAUUUUGAGAAUUGGGUGUCUAGGUAGAUAGAACCUUGAUAGGUUGCUACAUUAGUGAGAAAUAAAAGAAAGCAUUUGCUUUUGUUGGCGGUAUGCAUUUUAAAGCUGUAUCUUUCAGACUUGUACAUGUCCCCUUUUCCCUGCCUUCCCAGAAGAAGUAAACAGUUUUGUCACUCACAGGAUAGUUCAUCUUUCUCUGGUAAAGCAAUUCCUGUCUGUAAAUGGCGUCCUUGAGGAAUUGGACAAGGUGGUUUUUCUGAAGUGAUUUGAGGGUCCAAGACUCAGAUAAUCCAGGUUUUAUAAAACACGGACUCUGCAAAUAGUAAGUAAUGUGAGAGCACACGACGCUGCAUGAGCAAACAGCUUGGAGUAAGUAGGAGGCCCUUCUGUAGCAGUUCUCUAGGGACCAGGUUCAGGUUCUAUUAGUCUAGACUCAAGUAGUUAUACCUUUGAUUCAAGUAGUACAGUGCUUAGGAGAAUCCGCUUCUAAAAAAAAAAAAUACCUCUGAAACAGGAAUGCAAAAUAGCACAGUAUGCAGGGGGAAUGCCCCUGAUGCAACAAAGCCAUAAAAUGAUUUAAUAAUUUUUAAAGGACAAAACUUUAGUAGCAAUAACUGUUUUGCAUGUAGUAGUAACUAACUUGAAUUAGCAAACCUGUAUAGUAAAGUUAAGUUACCACUCAAGUUUGUGGUGCGUGGUGCUCAGUCCUUGACAGAGCUGUAUGAAAGGAAACUGUUUUAGGUAGAUGAUACACAUAAAAGAUGCUCUUUUCCUUCCUUUGAGAAGAGGGGUGUGUGUGUGUGUGUGUGUGUGUGUGUGUGUGUGUGUGUGUGUUUUGGAUAGAGGGAGAGAGACAUUUCGAUAUGUGAGGCUGAAAGCCCCAUUUGUUUUCCCAGGUAGCAGGAGGGAGCUGUUGAAGUGAACUCUUUCUGGGAGGCAGAUUGGAGUCUCACCAAUGCAUUCCAAGUAGAUUUUCUAUUUGAGACUUUACUUUGAGGGCAGCUCCUCCAUAACAGAUUUUUUUUUUCUUUCUCCUCUUGUUUCCUAAAUUCAUUCUUUUUUUAGGAUUAAGAAAAAAGCUUAAACGUAGUGUUUGCAUUUUCUCUAUUCGUGGUUAAGAAAGCUCUUGGUAACACUUCUGAGAAAGACUUUAUGUAUGUGAAUUUCUCUUUUUUUGUUUUUGACCAUAUUUUCAAUGGAGGAGUGGCCGGAGCCAUGGCCUUUGACAGCUUUAUCCUCCAAUAUAGAAAACCAUUCCACCUCCUAAUUGUAGUUGGCACACUGUCCCAGUUUAGGAGCCAAGACAGAGCAGUGGGGACCGAGACAAUUUUUCCGUUAUCUCAUACCACUUGUACAUGUGGAUAAUUCAUUUUGGUCGUCUAGUGCCUGGAAAAUAAGUACAUCUCUGCAUAAACUAGUCGUAAAUUCCCUUGGUUCAUGAUGUUCAAUUAUAUGCCUAUAUGUGAACCCAGGAGAAAAAAUACAAGGUAGAUGGGGCAGAGCCAAGAAAGUCAUGCCUUUGAACAUAAUACACUUAUUUGGUGAUCCUAGAAGAUAAGAAAACUGUGUUUAUAGAAUAACCAACCGUCCCUCAACUCACAAAAGGGAAUGCACUGUAUUAGGUUCCUUUUGGUCUUUCUUCAGUGUGUACCACAGUGUCACCAUUAGACACAUUGGAAUAGCCAAGUAAUUUUGAGAUAUCUGGCUUGGUCACAGGUGUACAUUUAUGCUAUAUAAAGGACUUUGUAGAACAGCCACAUUAAAUAUAGAUCUAAAUGCUAAAAUUGACGUACCCAGUGCAUGGAUGGUAUCCAGAUAAGCUUAUUAUAUGCAAGGUUGUAGGCAUCAUCUUUUUGUGUAGGUUUCACACUGAUGGAUGAGCUCUUAUUAAAUAUGAAGUGUGCACUUACAAUAUGCUAGGCACUAUGCAAAAUAGGGUGGGAUCUUUGCCCUUGAGGAGUUUACGUUCUCUUGGUGCUGCUGGUAAAGGCAAAUGGCCUCUAGUUUGUUUAGAACAUGCUUGGCUGUCAGAAUAAUCUUGGCCCAAAGGAUCACUUGUCACAACAGUUUUUAGAAGGAGGGCAACACCAAAUUUUAAGGCAUUGUAGAUUUAACUAAUUUACAUUGUACUAGCUAUGCUAUUAAUAAAUUUUUCCAGGGUAUGUGUGGGGUGAGAGGGUAAGGAGUGAUGUAUAGGUAAUUUUCUUUAGUGUUAGUAAAAGAAACCACUCGACUCAAUAGGGCCUCCACAACAUACCACCUUUGUCUUUUCAUGGUGUACCCGUCACAAAGUUGGCCAGAAAAAUCCAUAAUAAAUAAGGCUGAAUAUUUCCUUUUCUUAAUAAUGGCUCUUAUUUCUGCUACUAUAUCAUUCCCACCCUUAACAGAAUAGAUUUGCAUACCAGUCUCCCCUGUACCAGUGUGAAAUGAUCCUAAAUUUUACCUUUUUAUUUGCUGGUUUUGUACUUCCAUUCAAAAACAUCAUAGGAAUAGACAUAUGGAGAACUUAAUUAAAAUAGUCAUAUCUUUUUUCUAAAAGUUUCCAGGUUUUCUGUCUUUCAGUUGCAAUAUUUCAGUGAAAAUAAAUUGCAUGUACCCUAGCUAAGCCCCAUAAUCCCUCUGAAUCAAGAGGUUUUGUUUUGCAUGAACUUGGGUCUGAUUAAGAGGCCUUAGGUAAAAAUGCAUGCUGAUCAUAUAAACAAUAAUAGCACAAAGCCCACAAUCCUAGUCCUGUAGAGCUAGAGUCCUAAUUAUGCAUGAUUGAAAAUGUCUAGUGUCAUAUAAUUACUAGAAAACUGAUAUAUGCGUUUAUAUAUAACAAAGCAAUAGUAACUGUUAAAUGAAUAGCUUGAAUUUACUGCUUGAAACCUCAGUUCUUGUUUCUCUUAAAAAGAUGGUUUGCCUCCAUCAAUAAAGGGAGGUUAGAUAAGAAAACAGGGACAGCAGCAUGACACUUGGGCUGUUUGGAAGAGGGAGUAGCAGAACUCACCUUUCUUUUUAACCUCUUACCUGAUUUAUAUUAGUCCCCUAAGCAUGUUUUUUUAAAAUAACAGGGCACGCACUAAGAAGCAUGUUGUGUCAAUGAAUGAUUUCUUAGUUGCCUCAACUGUAGCAAUCAGAAAGGUGCAGAGUUUCAGAAAGAGUAAGGGUAAGUGAGGCCCAACUGUACUAUAGAAAGUAAUAACUGGGUCUGUUAAACACGGCAAAAGUGGCCUGAGUGUAAGCCCAGUAAAACUAGUCCUUUGGAGGUGAAUAAAAUCAAUAAGCACAGUGCACACAUUUCAGGUGUUCAGUAGCUUUUUAAUACAGUAUUUUUAGGUAAUUUUAGCCACUUAGGCAGCUGUACUGAAUUGUACUGGUGUCAACCAGCAAUAAUGGCUCCCUGCAGCAAAGGAGACUUCCACUUUGCAGGAAUUGACCUGAAAAUAUUGUUGUAUCUGUGAUGUUAUUUCUCUUUAGUUAUGUUGAUGCAUUUUUUAAUAUAUGUGACUUGAAAUAGAUUUUUAGAGCCAGAGACACAAAAUUAUUUACCCUUAAUGGUCUGAUCAGUCAGUCCAAUUAAGCUCCGUAAAGUACUCUUGCCCUUCAAGGUGAGUUUAUACAUCUUCAUUUCAUUAAAUAGAUUUUCCACUAACUUCUUUAUGUAGGGAGAAAAAAAUUAGAUGCUCUUCAAUUUUAACACUUCAGAAUGUUGGGAAAUAAAGAUUCUUCUGGGGCUUUUGGUGUAACCCCUAGAAGUAUAUGUGAUAAUAGCAAACAAGACAAGAAUCAUCUACUGAAAGCCAAAGAGGUGACAAUAAACUUAUAAUUCUUCCCACAAAGGUUUUACCUCUUAAAUUAGCAUAACCUCACUUUAGGGCUUACCUUGACAUUGUUGGGAAAACUCCAUCUUCCAAGUUAAAGGAUAAAAGUAACCUUCAAAUGGUUCAGAAUUGAACUGCUCAGUUCAUAUUUAGCAAGUUUAUUCCCAGUACCUAUUGGGAAAAUAAAGCUUUACCAAGCCUCUUUACAGUUUUUCUCUUAGCCACUUAUUGAUAGAAUAUCUGUGAAAUCAAGUUGGAAAAUUAAAUGUUUAUUGAUUUUGGCUUAAGAAUACAGUAACCAUCAACCUUCAUUAACCUACUUCUUUUAUCUUAAAAUUUAUCAAGAAACUCUUAAACUUUUAGAAAUACUCUUUAAAAGCAAAAGCUCAUAAACAGAAGGCCUUUCUUCUAAAUGAGAUCUCCCUGGAAAACAAAGGCUUAUAUGUGCUGCGCCAUUGUUGAGAUGUUGGGUUGUUUUGUUUUUUUCCAGCGGUGGGGAGAAAUAUCCAAAAUAAAUGAAAAGAAACUGGAGCCGUGCAUGGUAAUCUUCCAUCCUAAGUAACUGUACUAUUCCUGAAGCUGCUUUUAAAUUGUUUGACUCUUCUAUGUAAAAUAAAUAAUUUGGCAUUAGAUUAGAAAGGCCCAAUGCUGAAGAGCUCACUUCACAUACUCUUAUGUUGUCUUUAGUGCAGGAAAGAUUGUUUACUUAAUGUAUGCACAUGCAGCACUGUAAUGUAAUCUCUCUACUCCAUUGCAGUUAUUCUAUUUUAUAAGUUAAUAUUGUUAGAAUUUCAUACCUGAAAUUUUGGAAAAGGCAGCUUGCUGUUAUAUCUAUGCAUCUUUAGGGUUUGAAUGAGAGAUUUUAUUCUUUUGAUGGUGUAAAGAGCAACUUUUUAAAAACCUAAGUUGGAAACUCUGCAACUAUGUAUAAAACUUUUGGGGUUUGUUUUUGGUUUUUAGCAAUAAAGCAGCAUGGGCUGAGAACGCACUGAAA